RNAcentral lists this ribosomal RNA (442 nucleotides) under uncultured bacterium. RNAcentral describes it as "partial 16S ribosomal RNA". It matches the Rfam family "Bacterial small subunit ribosomal RNA", at positions 338 to 795 of the family's 1533-position model. The record is from RNAcentral.
CCUACGGGUGACAGCAGUGGGGAAUAUUGCACAAUGGGGGAAACCCUGAUGCAGCAACGCCGCGUGGGUGAAGGAGCGUUUCGGCGCGUAAAGCCCUAUCAGCAGGGAAGAAGAAAUGACGGUACCUGAGUAAGAAGCACCGGCUAAAUACGUGCCAGCAGCCGCGGUAAUACGUAUGGUGCAAGCGUUAUCCGGAUUUACUGGGUGUAAAGGGAGCGCAGGCGGCACGGCAAGCCUGAUGUGAAAGCCCGCGGCCCAACCGCGGGACUGCAUUGGGAACUACCGGGCUGGAGUGCCGGAGAGGUAGACGGAAUGCCUAGUGUAGCGGUGAAAUGCGUAGAUAUUAGGAGGAACACCAGUGGCGAAGGCGGCCUACUGGACGGUGACUGACGCUGAGGCUCGAAAGCGUGGGGAGCAAACAGGAUUAGAUACCCUAGUAGUC